This 2058-nucleotide ribosomal RNA is filed under the name metagenome. Its description in RNAcentral is "bacterial LSU rRNA". It matches the Rfam family "Archaeal large subunit ribosomal RNA", at positions 799 to 2906 of the family's 2987-position model. The record is from RNAcentral.
CGUCGAUCUAUGCCUGGCCAGAUUGAAGCCCGGUGAAAACUGGGUGGAGGAUCGAACCGUUGCUGAUGUGCAAAUCGCUCGGAGGAGUUGGGUAUAGGGGUGAAAGUCCAAUCGAGAUGGGCAAUAGCAGGUUCCGCGUGAGACUACUCGUAGGUAGACGUUCGUGGAGAUGGAUAGUGAUGUAGAGCACUGAUUGUGCGUUUAGGGGAAGCGAUUCCUCGGCGUGCUGUCAAACUCCGAAGUUGCUAUCGUCGUAGAAGCGAGCAGUGAGUGAUGGUGGGUAAGCUACCAUUACAAAAGGUGAUCAAACCAGCCUAAUGUUAAGGUCCCUAAGUUACGGUUAAGUGUUAAAUUAAACAGUGUCUAUGGUCAAAAACAACCAGAAGGUGGGCUUAGAAGCAGCCACCCUUUAAAGAGUUCGUAACAGAUCACUGGUCUAGUUUGUAGGCCUGAAAAAUGGACGGGGCUAAAACCGUACACCGAUACAUUGGUCCACCGCAAGGUGAUGAGGUAACGCGGCGUGGUGCUUGGGCGGAAGCAAGGUUUUGAGAUCUUGUGGACCGAGUACCAAUGAGAAUCUAGGGAAGAGUAGCAGCAUAGUGUGGUGAGAAUCCGCACCGCCGAAGGGGCCAGGGUUCCUCGGCAAUGUUUGUCAGCCGAGGGUUAGCCGGUCCUAAGAUUACUCUUAACAUAAGUAAUCGAAUGGGAAUUGCGUUAAUAUUCGUAAGCUAUCCUACAAUAAUGGUGACAGUUCGGGCUAGUUCGUCAGAUCAUAUAUCAGGUCUGCGAAGCGUCUCAUAACUUUCUGGAGAACCGUCAUGGUGAGAAGGAGAGGAAGGCGUGAGUGAGAUAUCGAAUGAGGCCUGGGCUCCAUGAAAAACCGUAGUGAUAUCCGUACCAAGAACUGACACAGGUGCCCCUGGGUGAGUAGCCUAAGGUGUCUCGGGUAAAGUAUCGUGAGGGAAUUCGGCAAAAUGGCUCCGUAACUUCGGGAGAAGGAGUGCCAGCUUAGAGAUAAGCUGGUCGCAGUGACUAGGGAGCUCCGACUGUUUAAUAAAAACAUAGGGGACUGCUAGAUCGAAAGGUUGUGUAUAGUCCCUGAAUCCUGCUCAGUGCUGGUAUCUGAAACCGGGUUUCAACCUGGCGAAGGACCAGUAAACAGCGGGGGUAACNAUGACCCUCUUAAGGUAGCGUAAUACCUUGUCGCUUAAUUGGCGACUUGCAUGAAUGGUCUAACGAGGGCUCCACUGUCCCCACGAUACGUCCGGCGAAAUUGACUUUACUGACGCACAGUUCAGUACCUUCCACCCGCAAGCGAAGACCCCAUAGAGCUUUACUACAGCCUGUCGUUGCAUAGUCGCACUUUUUGUGCUGAAUAGGUAGGAGAUGUCGAUCCUCAAGGCGCCAGCCUUGGGAGGAGUCACAAUUAGAGAUACUACCCUUGAAGGGUAACUAUGCUAACGCUUUAUGCGAACACCGAUAGGUGGGUAGUUUGGGUGGGGCGCCACGCGCUCGAAAAAAUAACAAGCGUGCCCAAAGGUCAGCUUAGAUGGUUCAGCACUCCAUCGUUAACUGUAAGGGGAUAAGCUGGCUUGACGUGGAUCGGCACAAUAACGAUCGACGAUGCGAAAGCAGGGCCUAACGAACCUACUAGCCUCAUUUCUGGGGGCAGUAGAUAACAGAAAAGUUACCUUGGGGAUAAUUGAGUUGUCACCAGCAAGAGCUCACAUCGACCUGGUGGCUUGCUACUUCGAUGUCGUCUCUUCCUAUCCUGGGUCUGCAGCAGGACCCAAGGGUGGGGUUGUUCGCCCAUUAAAAGGGAUCGUGAGAUGGGUUUAGACCGUCGUGAGACAGGUUUGUUGCUUGGUGGUGGAAGCGUUGUUGCUUGAUGGAAGGGGUCCUUCAGUACGAGAGGAACGAGGGCUCGGGGCCACUAGUUUACCAGUUGUCUGAUAAGGCAAUGCUGGGCAGCCACGCCCUAGCGGAUAAGAGCUGAAAGCAUCUAAGCUCGAAGCCGCCCCAAAGACGAGGCAAUGCAGAACGCUCGUAGAAGACGAG